UAAUCGAUUAACAAUAUCAAAGUUGCCCAAUAAGCAAUAUCAGUUUCUACAUAAAAUAGUGUAAAAUUUAGAAUACGAAUAACAACUACUUGUUUUCUAUAGUAAACAUGGCAGAUGAAAAAGGCAGCAACCCAGGAUUUAUUGUCAUGUAUGUACAUACAAAUAUCACGGAAUAUGGGACACUACCACCAAUCCGAAAUACGCAUGAAUAAUAUAAAUACGAGGCUGUGGCUCGUAUGUGGCUGACUGUAUGACCAUCAAUAAGCAAAAAGGGAUAUCUCAUAUCUCGGUAGGGAUAUGACCAGGAAUGCGCAAAAUGACCUGAUGCCUGAUGUUCCUUAUUAUCACUGUCCCGUACUAUUCGAUUCAAAAGAAAAUGCCAAAUAAGAAACAUCAAGAGUCAGGCCAUUUUAGGCAUUCUUGGUCACACCCUUCAUUUGCGAAAAUGUACGUCUUACGUCUGGGCCUCUGGCCGGUGUGGACCAGCAGCGACCAUCUUGACAAACACCCUGACCUUGUACAAUACUGGCAGCAGAGUUCGAUGAUCGAGUUCAAUUUGGCGCAGAAAACUACGUAACACUGCGCCAGCUGGCGUAGUGACCAUAACGGUUCCAACACUACAAUUUUCAACUGAAAAAAGGCAUUUCUCGUUACACCAUCGACGAAAACCAAUUCCGACAUGCCGUCACAUGCGACUGCAGGAGCUAAAUUCCUUGGGCACGUAUCGGUGCCAGGAGCAGCGCUAUGUACGGAUGCCAGAUAAUCAAAGUCGAACGACGUGGAAGAUGUCGAGGACUCCACUGAUCCAGGACAGACCACUUCGAACCCAUGAUUUGUAUUUGUCGAGUCCAUCAUUUGUUGUUGACGAUGUGUCAUUCCAUCGCUGUGCGCUAAGGAUACAGUUUCACAAGACUAUCCAGCUUUUAGGGAUGAUAAUUUCGUGAAAUACACAUGUUUCUAUAAAAAUUUGUACAAAAAAUAUAAAACAACAGUUUUAUUGUUCAAGUCAAAACUCAAGAAAUCUAGAAACUUAUUGCUAGAAUCUAGAUUUGAAAGAAGUUGAAUUCCAAACUUGCAGGCUGCAGCAUGGCGUACAGCGCCGUGCAGUGUGCGCUCUUAUCGUGCGAGUACUUCUUCGUGCCCGCUUGAUCUAUGUUGUGCAUACCGGACCAGCUUUUGUGCGUGACAGCCUACCGCUCACGCAGCGGCCCUUGUUACUUGUGGGUUUGUAGCCGUAGUACAUAGAUUAAGGAUUACUUAAUAAGAUUUCAACUUUCAUUGUAAACAGUGAUACCUGUUAACUGUUGACUGUCCUGUUCUAUAGUUUUUUUACGUUCCCAGUUCUA
Molecule: long non-coding RNA, 1346 nt
Organism: Paramacrobiotus metropolitanus
Lineage: Eukaryota; Metazoa; Tardigrada; Eutardigrada; Parachela; Macrobiotidae
Exons: 3
Source: RefSeq, a predicted model, not a curated record